RNAcentral lists this long non-coding RNA (323 nucleotides) under Lathyrus oleraceus (garden pea). RNAcentral describes it as "Pisum sativum (pea) long non-coding RNA (PSAT_LNC015851)". Lineage: Eukaryota; Viridiplantae; Streptophyta; Magnoliopsida; Fabales; Fabaceae. The record is from RNAcentral.
UUGGUUCCUUCAAGCUUAACUUAAGAAUAAGAAAAUUUGAACAAACAAAUGGGGAAUACCAAAGUUCAUAGAAACACAAUUAAACCUCACAAUAAAGAUCCAUGCAAUUAACAAAACCAAAGUUUACGGUAAAACGAGAGCCACCAAAAGUAAAACCAUACUUAAAACAUAAAAACAAUAAUAAUAAAAAAAUAACAAAUAAAAAUCUAAUACUACUCAAAACAAAGUCUUCAAUCCUCCUCAUCAACUCCACCACCUACGGACCCAAUAACAUCUUCCAUGUCUUCAUCAUGGCCCGCAACACUAGCUCGACCACUACCUCC